Molecule: ribosomal RNA, 225 nt
Filed under: uncultured bacterium
Lineage: Bacteria
Description: partial 16S ribosomal RNA
Rfam family: Bacterial small subunit ribosomal RNA
Source: RNAcentral
AGUAACGCGUGGAUAACCUGCCUCACACUGGGGGAUAGCAGUUAGAAAUGACUGCUAAUACCGCAUAAGCGCACAGUACCGCAUGGUACAGUGUGAAAAACUCCGGUGGUGUGAGAUGGAUCCGCGUCUGAUUAGCCAGUUGGCGGGGUAACGGCCCACCAAAGCGACGAUCAGUAGCCGACCUGAGAGGGUGACCGGCCACAUUGGGACUGAGACACGGCCCAA